This 673-nucleotide RNase P RNA is filed under the name Paxillus involutus ATCC 200175. RNAcentral's name for it is "Nuclear RNase P". It matches the Rfam family "Nuclear RNase P". Rfam says of the family: Ribonuclease P (RNase P) is a ubiquitous endoribonuclease, found in archaea, bacteria and eukarya as well as chloroplasts and mitochondria. Its best characterised activity is the generation of mature 5'-ends of tRNAs by cleaving the 5'-leader elements of precursor-tRNAs. Cellular RNase Ps are ribonucleoproteins. The record is from Rfam by way of RNAcentral. Lineage: Eukaryota; Fungi; Basidiomycota; Agaricomycetes; Boletales; Paxillaceae.
CCAGCUCGAAGGCCACGAAGCUCACUACGCACAGGAUGUCAUUGUCAUGCAUCCGAUAUCGUGAGCGGGCUAAGGUCUGAGUAUUAUAAUCUCCCUCGAUUGGCUCUAGCAGGGCCAGGUCGUAAUGCGACCGAGCGAUGUACCAGAAAUCAACCUUUUUUCCUCGAUUGCCCAAGAUCCUGUUAUUCAGGGGAGGUGAGGAGACUGGCUUUGGAAUGCGUUGCGGGGAUCGGGUAGGGUUCUGGGUCGCUCUCUGUUGCCUUCAUCUCGCAGAUGUGCCUCCCAAAAGGGCGCUCUGAGCGCAUAUCACAGCACACGUCGUUGGGCAAAGUAUCGACCAAUAUCCCAUGAAUAUUAUUCAGACGGGCGGCUGUGUUAACAAUACGAAGAUUUGGUGCGAUCUGUCUUGGCCUACAGUCAAAGGUGUUGCAUUGUAGGCCGCGAUGAGGGCACGAUCGCUCCCGAUGUAUUGUUCACCAACCUUUCUGUGAAGUCUGAUGAGGUUCAAUGGGGGUGAUAGCUUCAGCGAGAGUUGUCACUGUGCGCAAAAGAUACUCCCUGCGAACGAGAAGGUGGUUGGCGCGGUCAUACAGAGAACUCUUGUCCUUUAGUGCACUUCGUGGCUCACAUCUCUCUGGGAUGUGAAACUCGAUUCAGACUACUCUUGGACUGG